Canis lupus familiaris (dog) is the source of this 1362-nucleotide long non-coding RNA. RefSeq lists it as uncharacterized. The record is from RefSeq and is a predicted model, not a curated record. The transcript is spliced from 7 exons. NCBI's taxonomy places the organism in Eukaryota, Metazoa, Chordata, Mammalia, Carnivora, Canidae.
AGAGGGAGAGGGAGAAAUAGACUCCGCGGAGCAGGGAGCCCUAUGGGGGACUCGAUCCCAGGAAUCUGAGAUCAUGACCCGAGCUGGAGGCAGACGCCCAACCACUGAGCCACCCAGGGGCCCCCACAUCCUUUUCCUGUACUUCUUUGGCGAAUAUCCUCAGAAAGACAAAAGGCUGGAGAUUAUUUUUCUAGGCUCUGCUACCGACUGCCACGAACCCAGCACAGCCCAGGCCGGCGCCCCGCGGGCCUAGUGACGACACCCCCGUCCACACUGACCCCGGGCUGCCCUGCCUCGUCGGUGGCCCCAGGGUCCUCCCAGCACGGCGCUCCCGGGGCAGCGGGCCCGCUACCGCACCGGCCACGCGGUAGGCUCCUGGACCCUGAGAUCCAGCCCAAGCCCGGAGCUGAGAUGGAGGGUGUGAUGCUCAACCGGCUGAGUCACCCAGGUGCCCCUCUGUGUUGUUUCUUAAAUUGCAUGUGAAUCUACAAUUUUCUGCAAAGAAAAAGAUCAAAAGAAGAAGGUCCAAGGCCAAGAAAGCUCUUUCUGGUUUAUGCUACCUCAUUUGAGAACCCACCUACCAUUGUGACCUUCUCAAGGACCCUCCCCAAACUAUGCUUUGAUUUCUGGUGUCCUCAGAUGACCCUAUAAAGCAGAAGAUCCCUGUGCUUCCCUGCCGUGAGGGAUGCUCCCCGCAGGGGAAGUGUGCAUGUGCGUAGCUUGAUGAACUGUGACCCAGGGAGGCUGGAGGCACUAAAGCUGUGUUUGAGGCAGAAAUGAGUCACAGGGUGAGUCACCAAGCAGGAGGCUCGAGGGCGUGGGCUCCCGGCAGCCUCUGGCACCAGCUCAGCUCCAGCCUCACCUUGGGCACUUACACCAAGAAGUUUCUGAGUGCUGCCUUUACUGCAUCCCAUAACUUUUGCACUUUAAAUAUGUCAUCCCACUGUCUUUGGGCCUCUAUCAUCUCUGAUGAGAAACUCCUUGUUAAUCUUAUGGAAGCUCCUUGUAAAUUCAAAGUUUUUGACUCUUGGAUAUCAUUGUGAACUCAAAAGAGAAGUAGACAGCACAGGAACUGACAACAUGGAAACCAAAGCAGAAUAAAGGAAGACACACACUAUCUCAAAGCCUGACAAUUAGAUCUUAAACAUAUUUAAAAAAUAAAAGUAAAGGUUGACUCUAGAAGUUUCAGAUUGGUAAGAUUCAUUCAUUCAUUCAAAAAGCGUUUACUGGCCACCUUUCCUGUGUCCGUCACUAGCUGGAGCCUGGAGGACUCAAUUCUGAGCAAAAACAGACCCUGGUGCCUCGGUUCCCUGGUCCCCUCCUGUCAUGCAGUUUGCAAACUAACAGGGCAAUGGACUUGAA